GAUGAACGCUGACAGAAUGCUUAACACAUGCAAGUCAACUUGAAUUUGGGUUUUUAACUUAGGGUUGGGUGGCGGACGGGUGAGUAACGCGUAAAGAACUUGCCUCACAGCUAGGGACAACAUUUGGAAACGAAUGCUAAUACCUAAUAUUAUGAUAAUAGGGCAUCCUAUAAUUAUGAAAGCUAUAAGCGCUGUGAGAGAGCUUUGCGUCCCAUUAGCUAGUUGGAGAGGUAACGGCUCACCAAGGCGAUGAUGGGUAGCCGGCCUGAGAGGGUGAUCGGCCACAAGGGGACUGAGACACGGCCCUUACUCCUACGGGAGGCAGCAGUGGGGAAUAUUGGACAAUGGACCGAGAGUCUGAUCCAGCAAUUCUGUGUGCACGAUGAAGUUUUUCGGAAUGUAAAGUGCUUUCAGUUGGGAAGAAACAAAUGACGGUACCAACAGAAGAAGUGACGGCUAAAUACGUG
This 467-nucleotide ribosomal RNA is filed under the name uncultured bacterium. RNAcentral's name for it is "partial 16S ribosomal RNA". It matches the Rfam family "Bacterial small subunit ribosomal RNA", at positions 28 to 507 of the family's 1533-position model. The record is from RNAcentral.